UAGGGGGGGUUGACAAAUACUCAUUCACUCAAUACACAAAUAAACUGUGAUAUUUUCUUGAAAAUGACAGAGUGGGAGACAGAAAACAGGAAAGCACACAAAAAGCGGUCAUUUCCGAUGCUUCCCAGAGAACCAGACAGUUUGGGAUUUUUUACCAAGAACGUUGCCACAGACAACAGCACAUAAUAACGCUUUCAUCAAGUGGGCCGAAAAGGUCACAGCGACGACCUACUUUAGUAAAACAAACCGCUUCAUUGUAUCAGUGGGGAGGAAAGAGGGAGAAAAACCAAAAACAGCCUUUAGCUCGGCGCUCCCGUGACUUGUGUUCUUCUCACAGAGUUCACAUGACCCACCGUCACAUGAUCUGUCUCCCAAACCGUCUCCCUCCCUCCAACAGGAACCCUAAACGCUCACCUGAAACAGAAGGGCCAGACGGCGGCCUCCGAGGCGCCGGUGUGGUCGCUGAACGGGAACCAGAACGACCGCUGGAAGCAGGCGAAGGUCAGCAUCCGUCCCACGGCGUCCUUCCAGGUGGUCCUCGAGGGUAUCCGAGGCCCGGGCAUCGAGGGGGACAUCGCCAUCGACGACGUCACGCUGGAGGAAGGGGAGUGUCGAGACCCACCGCCCAAUCUGAGCGCCGACGCUCCGUCCACGUCCUCCCAUAUAUGGCUGCUAUGCGUCACCUUGGUGGUGACCCUCCUGGGAGGUCAGAGGUGACCCUCCUCCCCGUCAUCUCAGAGGCGAAGAUUCAGACCCACCAGUCUGAGGACUGUACCCUCGGCAUCCAAUCACCAAAGAUUCAUGCAUCCUGGAAGCGGCAAGGGUCCCCUGCUAGACCUCGGAGGCCCGAAAUUAACGAGAGAGAGAAAAAUUCAAGAUUUUUAAAAAAGAUGCGCAAUUUUUUUUUAGAGAGACCUCUUUUACAGAAACAUCCUUGGCGCAGGACGGUGGACGUCUUUACGAGCACAAAGACAGGUGGCCGAUGGAUAAAGCCUGGACUUUGCCAAAAAAAAAGAGUUCACGAGCGUCGAAGGAGGACUGUUUGUAAAGCACAAGAACAGUUUUAUGAAAUACGAAAAUAAUCAAAGGCAGCGGAGCACAGACGCUGCGGACUUUUUGAAGAGGAAACAGCGUUUCCCGGCUUACAAACACAUGGAAUCAGACCUUUCUCUGUGUAUCUUCAUCUCCAUCUUCAAACCCUCGGCACGUCUCUACCUGCUCGGUGCUGAACCGUCGGCGACAUUUUGUUCCGUGUGCUUAUCCGACGACUCCCCCCAACCCCCCCCCCCCUGUAGCUGCCUAUGUAUCUAUUAACACUAUGCUCACGAGUCCAAGUGGCCAACCGACGGAAGGGUGGCAGAACAUUGAAUGCCGGAGGAAUCGGCAGGGGAGCAAUCAGCCGGACCGCAGGCCAGAGGAGGAGGAGGAGGAGGAGGAGGAGAGGAGGGAUGGGGAGGAAGAAGAGGGGGAGGGGGGGUGGGGGGGAGUGUGGGGCCUGACUGGAGUACUCCGUCGGCCGGUGGAACGGAAGCCACUUUACUUUCUGCCAUGAAACAAAGUGCCUUCAGAGUACAAACCGCGCGGCGAGACCGUUACUCGACAUCGAAACACGCCGCCGCUCACGCUUCCUCCGAUGGGCUAUUUUCUACAUGUUCAUUUCGCCCCACAAGUGCUGAGGGAGCACGGGAGAGGGGGGGGGGGGUUUAACUCCUGAUUGAACAGUGGCCUGUUUGUGUGUGUGUGUGUGUGUGUGUGUGUGUGUGUGUGUGUGUGUGUGUGUGUGUGUGUGUGUGUGCAUGCGCCGAAGCCUCUGCCCCAUGCAGAGUCCAGUGUGAGGUCAGCUGACCAGGAAGUGCUGGCAGAACAAGUCUGUUUUUUGUGCAGGACGACGAGCUCGCGCAGGAGGAUGAAGACGCUUGAUUGAAUGAAUUCUCCACUCUCUGAUCCCAUAAUUCUCCCCCCCCCCCCCCCCCCACCCCACCCCCCCUCCCAUGGGCGAGCAUUUUUUAAAACAAAAGAACAACUGCUGAAUAAAACGUUGCUUUGUACAGGGAGGAGAGCAGGAACUUUGGGACUGCAGGCCCUUCAUUGGGGCCCCCGUCCUCCACCAUUUAUAUGGAACACUAUGAGAAUAAAAGAUAAUAAUGACCAUAAUAGUAGUCAUGAUAUUUUAUUACUCUAGCGGGAAUGUUUCUCUGCUUUUACACAAACUGUGAAGAUUGACUGUGGAAGAUCUACCUGAGACCAUAACCUUAACCAGCGGGGUUUUUAAAAAAAAAAUUGUAUUGUAAAAAAGAGAAAAUAAGAAAAUGAAAAAUUCCGUCCAUUGUUGGUUAUGACAAAAUGUUUUGAGGACUUGUGUCUUGUUUCUUAUUUUUUCCGUUGAAGAUGAAUUUACUUCCUUUUUCUCUUCUUGUUGUCUCCCUUUGCAUCGCUUAAGUAUCAAAGCUGAUGGAAGCAUAAGAAGUCAAACCAAUUUGGUAACUGUAUAACUUGUAAAUGUUAAAGAAGCUCUAUUCAAAGGUUUAUGAUAAAUGUUUUUUUUGUGUUGGAGUACAGGAAGCACAACAUAACAGUUCCAGGCCCCGACAUAUAGAACCCAUUUUGUAUUUCUUUGCACACGUGUGUGUGUGUGUGUGUGUGUGUGUGUGCGUGUGUGUGCGCCCCCCCCAAACCAAGUCCACGUCCAACGCUAAACGCAUCAUUUAUAUUCAAAUGUAUCGUGCCACCGAAACGCUGUGCGACGGAGUGGGAAACCCAGUCCAGAGGGUGAAGGGGACUCCUGGUUGCAUUUGGGCCGCUUGGCGCCGUGUAGCCUGGUCCGAGCGGGUCCACAGCCGUGCACAACGAACAUCGGGCACACGUGUGUGGAAGAGCGGAAGCAGGAUGGCGGGCAUUUCAGGGCGUCCUAAUAAUUCCAUUAAAGGCUAAAUGAUAUUAUUACAGAGACAUUAUCACAGCUGUUUUCUGCUUUUAUUUAUUUUAUUUCUUCCCAUGAGGCCCAGAUCAUAAUGAAUGUAAAUGGAGUUAUUUUCUAACAGUCUUACUAGAUGUAAUGUUUUACUAAAACAUGUUUUUUGUGUGCUUUUGAUGAUGAGAACUUUCAGACUUUCAUAGGUUGUUUUGGACACAUCAAGAACAAAGAGAUUUGUGUGACUUUGACACAGACUUUGACACAAUUCCCCCCCCCCCCCCUCCAAAAAAAAUGCAAGCUCAGAUAAAGCAUCCAUUAGCUAUUUGCUAUCUCCUCCUGUGAAAUAGCAAGUAAUGAAAAGUGCCAAAGUGCCCUUUAUGUGCUCAGUAUGGAUAUGAGUUCCUUUAGAGAUGUUAGCACCUGUUCCUUUUUACCGGCACCCUGGUCACCUGGUCACCUUCUCCUGUGACCUGCAGCACCUGGUCACCUUCUCCUGUGACCUGCAGCACCUGGUCACCUUCUCUUGUGACCUGCAGCCCCUGGUCACCUGGUCACCUUCUCCUGUGACCUGCAGCCCCUGGUCACCUGGUCACCUUCUCCUGUGACCUGCAGCCCCUGGUCACCUGGUCACCUUCUCCUGUGACCUGCAGCCCCUGGUCACCUGGUCACCUUCUCCUGUGACCUGCAGCACCUGGUCACCUUCUCCUGUAGUAGUUUCACUUUAGCUUAGCUUAGCACAAAGACUUGGUGACAAGUGGGAACAUCGAGCAAACAGGCGUACUUCUCCAAAGCUCUAGCUUCUAAAUGACAGCUUCUAUAUCGUCCCUAUACUUUUUUUUUUGUUCGAAUUAUAUCAGCAUGAGAAAAACACACCUGAAUCGAAAGAAAGAAAAAAAACAAAGAUUUUCCUCCUGCUUUUGUGGUGUUUAUUAAUAAAUUCUGGGUACUUUCAGCUACUAAACUUCCAAUCCGUGUGAAGGACGUCUUGUUAGAUUUUUCCCAGGGAACUGUACAUCCAACCAUCCUUUCAUUUCCUUUUCACCCCGUGUCAGCUCCUGCCCCUUUUGUGUGCACGCCAGAUGUAAUGAAAGUCCACCUCCAAGUACAAUCGGAGCGGAUUAACGGAACCUGAACGCGUAAACAGCGCCGCGUUCGCCGACUUCGCUUCCCGAGGGGCCCAAGGUUUCCUGCAGUUGCUCACCGGCUAACGAGUGCGUGGCUUUUUAAAGCGCCACGAGUCCUUCAAAAAGGCCUCCGCCGCCGCCGCCGCCAUCAUCUCAAAUUGGAAGGUCUCCAUUUGACGCGGCGCGUGGGCGUUCAGUGAUGGGUGCUGCCUUCGCAAAUAGAGCGCAGUAUUAGUGCGGGAGGAGCAAACCUCCACCGUGUGGGCUGUGUACAAAGUUUUAACCUUCAUGUCUUCAGCUCGUGUGCCAAAGCGCGUAGUCCCCCCCCCCCGUUACACAUGAGGCGUUUGCCACAGUUGAAUUCAAUUGCAUUAGAUAGUAAAAAAAAAAAAGGCAAAGGGCUUUAACCAUUGGGUUGGAGGGAAGCAGGGUGAAUAUGGCACGUUUUGCCUUUUGUGCGACAUUAACGACGGGGGGGGAAACAUGGUGGGGGGGGGGGGUGUUGGUGGAUGAACGUACCCAGUAUUUACACCAAUGCCGCUGUAAAAGCAGGCAUCGAGGCGCCGGUGGGCUGCAACUUAAUUGGUGCAACGUGCAGCGCGCUGAAUCGGUUUUCCCGGGGUUCUGUGCUGAAUCGGAUGAAACUUUUUCCACGUGAGCUGAACCGUGACCGGUUGCUUACGCGAGGAAAUGUAAUUUGAAACAAAGUAUUGCCUUAAUUCCUAGAACAUGCGUACUUUGUAAUGUUAUAAACUCCGAGUUAUGCUCCUGUCGUUCCUGAAAGGUGUUUUUCUUUU
Pungitius pungitius (ninespine stickleback) is the source of this 4835-nucleotide long non-coding RNA. RefSeq lists it as uncharacterized. NCBI's taxonomy places the organism in Eukaryota, Metazoa, Chordata, Actinopteri, Perciformes, Gasterosteidae. The transcript is spliced from 3 exons. The record is from RefSeq and is a predicted model, not a curated record.